UGCUGGGAUUACAGGCGUGAGCCACCGUGCCCGGCCACAUAUUGCUUUUGAAGAAAGAAAGAAAAAGGACUUUUUAAGGCUAUGGGAUUGUUUUGCUACUUAGAAACAAAUCUUUCAUUCCUCCAUGGGCUGGCCGUUGGCUUGUUUGAGCUAAGUACCAUUCCCAAAAUCCUGUGUACUGCUUGGCUGGAGGUGGCUGAAAUCCUGUGAACUACGUUUCCCAGAUUCCCUUGCCAGCUGGCCUACUUAGAUGCUUCCAAUGGGAAGCACUGGUGGGAAGCUGCAUGAAAUGAGAGAGAGACCAAUUUUUCUUGUUGCUGUUUUGUUUUGUUUUGUUUAAGCUCUGGCCAGGGGGGCCGCAGUGACUGGCAGCUGCGGGGGCUCCAGCAGCCUUCAGUAGUUCCAGCAACCGCAUCGGGGUCAGGCAGUGGCCAGCUCCAGCAGCUUCAGCAGCUUCCUGCACUGUCAGAUGCCAGAUGCUCCUGGGCUCUGAUAACAUCACCACCUCCCUCCUAUUCCUCCUGCCUUUCAAGUGGCAGUGACUUCCUGCAGAUACUUAUCUGUAGCCAUCACCAGUUCAGACCACCAUCAUUUCUCACUGCCGCGGCCUUCUCUCAGAUAUCCCCACUUCUGCAACUGAAAGGAAUGGCAAAAACAGCAACUACUUUUGCACCAACCUAAUAAGACAUCCAGCAUUGUCCAUCUCAGCUCCUUGUUUAUUUCCUACUUAGUCCCUACUAAAACUUGACAUUUUGGUCUGUUUGUUUAAAUAGGUCUGUUUUAUGUCUCUCUCCCACAGGAGUAUGAGGGCAGGGACCUGUUUACCACAGUAUUUCCAGUGCCCAGCACAGAGCCUGACACAAAUCAGCUGUUCACUAUAUGCUGAAUGAAUGCUCUGCAUAUUGAACUGUUUCCAUAUUCAUGCAUAGAGAUAAAGGAAAUUUGAUUUAAUUUCAAUAAAUUCUGUAUUGUUAGAUGUUUCAA
Long non-coding RNA from Sapajus apella (tufted capuchin), 984 nucleotides. RefSeq lists it as uncharacterized. Lineage: Eukaryota; Metazoa; Chordata; Mammalia; Primates; Cebidae. The record is from RefSeq and is a predicted model, not a curated record. The transcript is spliced from 2 exons.